Molecule: ribosomal RNA, 856 nt
Filed under: uncultured Lentimicrobium sp.
Lineage: Bacteria; Pseudomonadati; Bacteroidota; Bacteroidia; Bacteroidales; Lentimicrobiaceae
Description: bacterial SSU rRNA
Rfam family: Bacterial small subunit ribosomal RNA
Source: RNAcentral
UGUCAGUCUAGAGUAUAGUUGAAGUUGGCGGAAUGUGUCAUGUAGCGGUGAAAUGCUAGAUAUGACACAGAACACCCGAUCGCGAAGGCAGCUAGCUAAGCUAUAACUGACGCUCAUGCACGAAAGCGUGGGGAUCAAACAGGAUUAGAUACCCUGGUAGUCCACGCUGUAAACGAUGAUUACUCGAUGUUGGCGAUACACAGUCAGCGUCUGAGCGAAAGCAAUAAGUAAUCCACCUGGGGAGUACGAUCGCAAGAUUGAAACUCAAAGGAAUUGACGGGGGCCCGCACAAGCGGAGGAGCAUGUGGUUUAAUUCGAUGAUACGCGAGGAACCUUACCUGGGCUCGAACGUAAGAUGACUGUAGGUGAAAGCUUACAUCUCUUCGGAGCAUUUUACGAGGUGCUGCAUGGUUGUCGUCAGCUCGUGCCGUGAGGUGUCGGGUUAAGUCCCAUAACGAGCGCAACCCCUACCUUUAGUUGCCAUCAGGUCAUGCUGGGGACUCUAAAGGAACUGCCUACGCAAGUAGUGAGGAAGGCGGGGAUGACGUCAAAUCAGCACGGCCCUUACGUCCAGGGCUACACACGUGCUACAAUGGCCGAUACAGAGGGCAGCUACCUGGUGACAGGAUGCAAAUCUCCAAAGUCGGUCUCAGUUCGGAUCGGAGUCUGCAACCCGACUCCGUGAAGUUGGAUUCGCUAGUAAUCGCGCAUCAGCCAUGGCGCGGUGAAUACGUUCCCGGGCCUUGUACACACCGCCCGUCAAGCCAUGGAAGCUGGGGGGACCUAAAGUCGAUAACCGCAAGGAGUCGCCUAGGGUAAAACCAGUGACUGGGGCUAAGUCGUAACAAGGUAGCCG